GUACGUGUAGCCCGAGCUUGCUCUCGGGUGACGAGUGGCGGACGGGUGAGUAAUGUCUGGGAAACUGCCUGAUGGAGGGGGAUAACUACUGGAAACGGUAGCUAAUACCGCAUAACGUCCCAAGACCAAAGAGGGGGACCUUCGGGCCUCUUGCCAUCAGAUGUGCCCAGAUGGGAUUAGCUAGUAGGUGGGGUAACGGCUCACCUAGGCGACGAUCCCUAGCUGGUCUGAGAGGAUGACCAGCCACACUGGAACUGAGACACGGUCCAGACUCCUACGGGAGGCAGCAGUGGGGAAUAUUGCACAAUGGGCGCAAGCCUGAUGCAGCCAUGCCGCGUGUAUGAAGAAGGCCUUCGGGUUGUAAAGUACUUUCAGCGGGGAGGAAGGCGAUAAGGUUAAUAACCUUGUCGAUUGACGUUACCCGCAGAAGAAGCACCGGCUAACUCCGUGCCAGC
This 455-nucleotide ribosomal RNA is filed under the name Klebsiella sp. RNAcentral describes it as "bacterial SSU rRNA". It matches the Rfam family "Bacterial small subunit ribosomal RNA", at positions 64 to 512 of the family's 1533-position model. Lineage: Bacteria; Pseudomonadati; Pseudomonadota; Gammaproteobacteria; Enterobacterales; Enterobacteriaceae. The record is from RNAcentral.